GCUGGGCACCACUGUAGUCCCAGUUACUCAGGAGACUGAGGCAAGAGAAUAGCUUGAGCCCAGGCAUUCUGGGUUGUAACGCACUAUACUGACUGGGUAUCCACACUAAGUUCAGCAUCAAUAUGGUAAUCUCCCAGGAACGGGGAACCACCAGGUUGCCUAAGGAGUGAACUGGCCCAGGUUGGAAAAAGAGCCAGUCAAAACUCCUGUGUUGAUCAGCAGGGAGAUUGCACCUGUGAAUAGCCACUGCACUAUGAUCUGUUGUCUACAACAAGCACACUUCACAU
Non-coding RNA from Chlorocebus sabaeus (green monkey), 287 nucleotides. It matches the Rfam family "Metazoan signal recognition particle RNA". Rfam says of the family: The signal recognition particle (SRP) is a universally conserved ribonucleoprotein. It is involved in the co-translational targeting of proteins to membranes. The eukaryotic SRP consists of a 300-nucleotide 7S RNA and six proteins: SRPs 72, 68, 54, 19, 14, and 9. The record is from Rfam. Lineage: Eukaryota; Metazoa; Chordata; Mammalia; Primates; Cercopithecidae.